ACAACAGAAACGUUCACAGUCUGCUGAUAAUGUCUGUGGGUUUGAGUGUGAAAAUAUGAAAGAAAAACAAAUUGAAUUAAUAAGUGCAAGUGUUGAAAGUUUUCUUCGAGUAGACAGGUUGUACUGAUGUCAGAGAAGUUGUGGAGUCGUCUGUGUAGUCGGCUACACUGCCCAUGUAGCAUAUUAAUAUGUACAUCAGGAGCUUAGUGAUGGUGCGUGAGCUGCCAGGAUUAAAUCCGGAUCCUGUUUGGUCCGUAGCCAGGCUCUCUGUGCCUGCAGAUUCCACCUCAGGACGUGAUGACACGUGGGGACCCGAGGGGGUGCACAACAGGAAUCAACAGUGAAGUGUGUGUGUGUGUGUGUGUGUGUGUGUGUGUGUGUGUGUGUGUGUGUGGGUGAUGGAGCUUAAAAAUUCCAAGAAGAGAAAGGAAAAGGAGGAAACAGAAAGGAGAAGAGAGGUGAUGUCUUUUGUGGUUCUUGGUAAGAGGAGUACAAUGUGACCGGACUGGUGGAACCGGGUCAGGAUCGGGGAAGUAUAAAGACAAACAAUGAGUUCAAUGAGCUACACAUUAUACAGACAUAAGCCACUUCCCUCGGCGGUGUACACCUAAAGAUCAUGGGGCACUGAUCUUGAUUGUUACUGUAACCUCAGGGAUUUCCAGGCACAAGAAUCUGAGAGGAAAGCGGGGGCAAACAGGACAGACUGGAUUUUACACACGUCAUGUUUUGCUGGAUGACAGAAAUGAGGCUCCCUCGUGUCAAGCAUGGGAGGUUUUUGUGCCAGGAGACUUCUCAAACCAGCCUUUAUUGCAUAAGUUUGAUCGGAAGAACAACACAAAGUAGCUUUCUUCCUGCUGGUCAUGAACAUUCCCAACAUGGGUUAGCAAAAAUAA
This is a long non-coding RNA of Neoarius graeffei (lesser salmon catfish), 893 nucleotides long. RefSeq lists it as uncharacterized. The transcript is spliced from 5 exons. The record is from RefSeq and is a predicted model, not a curated record. Lineage: Eukaryota; Metazoa; Chordata; Actinopteri; Siluriformes; Ariidae.